This 2906-nucleotide ribosomal RNA is filed under the name Escherichia coli. RNAcentral describes it as "bacterial LSU rRNA". It matches the Rfam family "Bacterial large subunit ribosomal RNA". The record is from RNAcentral. Lineage: Bacteria; Pseudomonadati; Pseudomonadota; Gammaproteobacteria; Enterobacterales; Enterobacteriaceae.
UUAAGCGACUAAGCGUACACGGUGGAUGCCCUGGCAGUCAGAGGCGAUGAAGGACGUGCUAAUCUGCGAUAAGCGUCGGUAAGGUGAUAUGAACCGUUAUAACCGGCGAUUUCCGAAUGGGGAAACCCAGUGUGUUUCGACACACUAUCAUUAACUGAAUCCAUAGGUUAAUGAGGCGAACCGGGGGAACUGAAACAUCUAAGUACCCCGAGGAAAAGAAAUCAACCGAGAUUCCCCCAGUAGCGGCGAGCGAACGGGGAGCAGCCCAGAGCCUGAAUCAGUGUGUGUGUUAGUGGAAGCGUCUGGAAAGGCGCGCGAUACAGGGUGACAGCCCCGUACACAAAAAUGCACAUGCUGUGAGCUCGAUGAGUAGGGCGGGACACGUGGUAUCCUGUCUGAAUAUGGGGGGACCAUCCUCCAAGGCUAAAUACUCCUGACUGACCGAUAGUGAACCAGUACCGUGAGGGAAAGGCGAAAAGAACCCCGGCGAGGGGAGUGAAAAAGAACCUGAAACCGUGUACGUACAAGCAGUGGGAGCACGCUUAGGCGUGUGACUGCGUACCUUUUGUAUAAUGGGUCAGCGACUUAUAUUCUGUAGCAAGGUUAACCGAAUAGGGGAGCCGAAGGGAAACCGAGUCUUAACUGGGCGUUAAGUUGCAGGGUAUAGACCCGAAACCCGGUGAUCUAGCCAUGGGCAGGUUGAAGGUUGGGUAACACUAACUGGAGGACCGAACCGACUAAUGUUGAAAAAUUAGCGGAUGACUUGUGGCUGGGGGUGAAAGGCCAAUCAAACCGGGAGAUAGCUGGUUCUCCCCGAAAGCUAUUUAGGUAGCGCCUCGUGAAUUCAUCUCCGGGGGUAGAGCACUGUUUCGGCAAGGGGGUCAUCCCGACUUACCAACCCGAUGCAAACUGCGAAUACCGGAGAAUGUUAUCACGGGAGACACACGGCGGGGUGCUAACGUCCGUCGUGAAGAGGGAAACAACCCAGACCGCCAGCUAAGGUCCCAAAGUCAUGGUUAAGUGGGAAACGAUGUGGGAAGGCCCAGACAGCCAGGAUGUUGGCUUAGAAGCAGCCAUCAUUUAAAGAAAGCGUAAUAGCUCACUGGUCGAGUCGGCCUGCGCGGAAGAUGUAACGGGGCUAAACCAUGCACCGAAGCUGCGGCAGCGACGCUUAUGCGUUGUUGGGGUAGGGGAGCGUUCUGUAAGCCUGUGAAGGUGUGCUGUGAGGCAUGCUGGAGGUAUCAGAAGUGCGAAUGCUGACAUAAGUAACGAUAAAGCGGGUGAAAAGCCCGCUCGCCGGAAGACCAAGGGUUCCUGUCCAACGUUAAUCGGGGCAGGGUGAGUCGACCCCUAAGGCGAGGCCGAAAGGCGUAGUCGAUGGGAAACAGGUUAAUAUUCCUGUACUUGGUGUUACUGCGAAGGGGGGACGGAGAAGGCUAUGUUGGCCGGGCGACGGUUGUCCCGGUUUAAGCGUGUAGGCUGGUUUUCCAGGCAAAUCCGGAAAAUCAAGGCUGAGGCGUGAUGACGAGGCACUACGGUGCUGAAGCAACAAAUGCCCUGCUUCCAGGAAAAGCCUCUAAGCAUCAGGUAACAUCAAAUCGUACCCCAAACCGACACAGGUGGUCAGGUAGAGAAUACCAAGGCGCUUGAGAGAACUCGGGUGAAGGAACUAGGCAAAAUGGUGCCGUAACUUCGGGAGAAGGCACGCUGAUAUGUAGGUGAAGUCCCUCGCGGAUGGAGCUGAAAUCAGUCGAAGAUACCAGCUGGCUGCAACUGUUUAUUAAAAACACAGCACUGUGCAAACACGAAAGUGGACGUAUACGGUGUGACGCCUGCCCGGUGCCGGAAGGUUAAUUGAUGGGGUUAGCCGCAAGGCGAAGCUCUUGAUCGAAGCCCCGGUAAACGGCGGCCGUAACUAUAACGGUCCUAAGGUAGCGAAAUUCCUUGUCGGGUAAGUUCCGACCUGCACGAAUGGCGUAAUGAUGGCCAGGCUGUCUCCACCCGAGACUCAGUGAAAUUGAACUCGCUGUGAAGAUGCAGUGUACCCGCGGCAAGACGGAAAGACCCCGUGAACCUUUACUAUAGCUUGACACUGAACAUUGAGCCUUGAUGUGUAGGAUAGGUGGGAGGCUUUGAAGUGUGGACGCCAGUCUGCAUGGAGCCGACCUUGAAAUACCACCCUUUAAUGUUUGAUGUUCUAACGUUGACCCGUAAUCCGGGGUUGCGGACAGUGUCUGGUGGGUAGUUUGACUGGGGCGGUCUCCUCCUAAAGAGUAACGGAGGAGCACGAAGGUUGGCUAAUCCUGGUCGGACAUCAGGAGGUUAGUGCAAUGGCAUAAGCCAGCUUGACUGCGAGCGUGACGGCGCGAGCAGGUGCGAAAGCAGGUCAUAGUGAUCCGGUGGUUCUGAAUGGAAGGGCCAUCGCUCAACGGAUAAAAGGUACUCCGGGGAUAACAGGCUGAUACCGCCCAAGAGUUCAUAUCGACGGCGGUGUUUGGCACCUCGAUGUCGGCUCAUCACAUCCUGGGGCUGAAGUAGGUCCCAAGGGUAUGGCUGUUCGCCAUUUAAAGUGGUACGCGAGCUGGGUUUAGAACGUCGUGAGACAGUUCGGUCCCUAUCUGCCGUGGGCGCUGGAGAACUGAGGGGGGCUGCUCCUAGUACGAGAGGACCGGAGUGGACGCAUCACUGGUGUUCGGGUUGUCAUGCCAAUGGCACUGCCCGGUAGCUAAAUGCGGAAGAGAUAAGUGCUGAAAGCAUCUAAGCACGAAACUUGCCCGAGAUGAGUUCUCCCUGACUCCUUGAGAGUCCUGAAGGAACGUUGAAGACGACGACGUUGAUAGGCCGGGUGUGUAAGCGCAGCGAUGCGUUGAGCUAACCGGUACUAAUGAACCGUGAGGCUUAACCUU